Molecule: ribosomal RNA, 912 nt
Filed under: Malbranchea cinnamomea
Lineage: Eukaryota; Fungi; Ascomycota; Eurotiomycetes; Onygenales; Malbrancheaceae
Description: LSU rRNA
Rfam family: Eukaryotic large subunit ribosomal RNA
Source: RNAcentral
GCAUACAAUAAGCGGAGGAAAAGAAACCAACAGGGAUUGCCUCAGUAACGGCGAAGUGAAGCGGCAAGAAGCUCAAAUUUGAAAUCUGGCGCCUCCGGCGUCCGAGUUGUAAUUUGGAGAGGAUGCUUCGGGUGCGGCCGCGGCCUAAGUCCCCUGGAACGGGGCGUCGCAGAGGGUGAGAAUCCCGUCUUUGGUCGCCGGUGCGCGCCCGUGUGAAGCUCCUUCGACGAGUCGAGUUGUUUGGGAAUGCAGCUCUAAAUGGGUGGUAAAUUUCAUCUAAAGCUAAAUACUGGCGGGAGACCGAUAGCGAACAAGUAGAGUGAUCGAAAGGUUAAAAGCACCUUGAAAAGGGAGUUAAACAGCACGUGAAAUUGUUGAAAGGGAAGCGCUUGCAGCCAGACUCGGGCGCGGGGGUUCAGCGGGCACGCGUGCCCGUGCACUCCCCCGCGGCCGGGCCAGCAUCGGUUCGGGCGGCCGGUCAAAGGCCCCGGGAAUGUGUCGCCCUCCGGGGCGUCUUAUAGCCCGGGGUGCAAUGCGGCCAGCCUGGACCGAGGAACGCGCUUCGGCUCGGAUGCUGGCGUAAUGGCUGUCAGCGACCCGUCUUGAAACACGGACCAAGGAGUCUAACAUCCACGCGAGUGUUCGGGUGUCAAACCCGUGCGCGCAGUGAAAGCGAACGGAGGUGGGAUCCCCGCAAGGGGCGCACCAUCGACCGAUCCUGAUGUCUUCGGAUGGAUUUGAGUAAGAGCGUGGCUGUUGGGACCCGAAAGAUGGUGAACUAUGCCUGAAUAGGGCGAAGCCAGAGGAAACUWCUGGUGGAGGCUWCGCAGCGGUUUCUGACGUGCAAAUCGAUUCGUCAAAUUUGGGUAAUAGGGGCGAAAGACUAAUCGAACCAUCUAGUAGCUGGUCUGC